This 567-nucleotide ribosomal RNA is filed under the name uncultured bacterium. RNAcentral describes it as "bacterial SSU rRNA". It matches the Rfam family "Bacterial small subunit ribosomal RNA", at positions 347 to 916 of the family's 1533-position model. The record is from RNAcentral.
GGCAGCAGUGGGGAAUUUUGCGCAAUGGGCGAAAGCCUGACGCAGCAACGCCGCGUGGAGGAUGAAGGCCCUCGGGUCGUAAACUCCUGUCAGCGGGGACGAAUGCUUCGCAAGAAGUUUGACUGUACCCGUUGAGGAAGCCACGGCUAACUCCGUGCCAGCAGCCGCGGUAAUACGGAGGUGGCAAGCGUUGUUCGGAAUUACUGGGCGUAAAGGGCGCGUAGGCGGCUUGGCAAGUCAGAUGUGAAAGCCCCGGGCUUAACCCGGGAAUUGCAUCUGAAACUGCAUUGCUUGAGUCCUGGAGGGGAUAGUGGAAUUCCCAGUGUAGCGGUGAAAUGCGUAGAUAUUGGGAGGAACACCUGCGGCGAAGGCGGCUAUCUGGACAGUGACUGACGCUGAUGCGCGAAAGCUAGGGGAGCGAACGGGAUUAGAUACCCCGGUAGUCCUAGCCGUAAACGAUGGGCACUUGGUGUUGGGGGUAUUGAGUCCCUCGGUGCCGGAGUUAACACGUUAAGUGCCCCGCCUGGGGAGUACGGUCGCAAGACUGAAACUCAAAUGAAUUGACGG